CGCGUCCAAUCCCUCUCCCUGCACAUCCUGAAUCCCAACCCUGAAGCCCUGAGAAAGGCCCCGUCCAGAGUGGGGAUUCUGUUAUGCUCCUGCCGGGGAUGGGGCUGAUCAAGGGGGACUAGGAUCAGCACCGAGGCAGGGAGAGGCGCUGGGGAGGACAAUUUAAGGGGCACUGAGGGUGGGAAGACAGGGGCUGGGGAAGGGUGAGGGUGGCACUGGGGCUUGGGGCAGCCGGCAGGAGGGCUGUGACGGUGAAGGACCCAGGGAUGGGUGGAAUGGGCCAUGGAGGUGCAGGCAUCUGUGUCCUUCUUCCCAUAUCUCCCGCUCCUCAGUUUCCAGAGCAGCGGCUGGGAAAUUGUGCUGACACCAGAGAAGUGCUCGCGCUGCUCAGCCCGUUAUCAGCAGGGCUGGGAGUGGGGGGCGGGGGGAGCCGCUCAGACAUGCUCCAGACUGAUAAAGUGGGGAGACAACGGAGGCUGCAUCUUAACGAGGCUUCUCCCAGCAGCGCUGGCCGCCGUGCCCCAGAAUCUGGGCAGGUCUCGACCCUUUGGCCCCAGCAGGCCCAGGGGGAAACGUCCUUCUCUCCCCAUCCCAGGGCCCCGAUUCUCCUGCUCUGGGUCCUACACUGGGAGGCCUGGGGUCCUGGUCCCUCCCUGUGUGUGUGUGAGAGAGAGAGAGAUUAGAUGUGUGAACCUGGGCAUGCACAUGUGUGUGAGAUAGCGUGUGUGACUCAAUGGGCAAGAAUGAGCGUGAAAGAGGAAUGUGUGGGGGUGUGACAGAGACAGUCUGCUCCAGAGGGCGAGCGGGAAUGUGCGCGAGUCUGUGUGUGCGACAGACAGUGGGACCGGCCGUGUGUGCCAGACCGUGUGCGUCGGAGCAUGGAGAGAGCGAUUGCGGGUUGUGGGGCACAGGAAGGGGGAGAACGACAGGAAUCUGGGGAGGUGUUGCCAGAGGAUCGAAACGCGCUGGCAGCCUGGCGCUGAGGAAGCCUGCAAGCCUCUCGCCCACACUCCGACUGGCUCCAGCUUCCCGAUCCAGCCUUGUGCUUUUACGAGCAUAAAAAUUUCAACGUCCCCUCCAAAAAAACGGAGCAGAUGAAAGCUG
Molecule: long non-coding RNA, 1104 nt
Organism: Gavialis gangeticus (Gharial)
Lineage: Eukaryota; Metazoa; Chordata; Crocodylia; Gavialidae
Exons: 2
Source: RefSeq, a predicted model, not a curated record